Mauremys reevesii (Reeves's turtle) is the source of this 3031-nucleotide long non-coding RNA. RefSeq lists it as uncharacterized. The transcript is spliced from 2 exons. The record is from RefSeq and is a predicted model, not a curated record. NCBI's taxonomy places the organism in Eukaryota, Metazoa, Chordata, Testudines, Geoemydidae.
UGUCCAGAUUGGCCGGAGCUUCCCCGUGCCCGCUACGAGGAGGAAUCACCGGAGCUCCCCCGUGACCGGUACUGGCAGGAGCCGCUGGAAUUCCCCCGCGCCCGCUACGAGGAGGAGCCAUUGGAGCCUCCCCGUCCCUGCUGUUACCCGGAGGAGCCACCUGAGCACGUCUGGCCGGACUUCCCCGAGGAGCUGCCAGACCUGCCACCAAGCCCUGGUCGAGAGGAGCCCAUGCUCGUUGACUGGCCUGGAACCGGUGACACGGACGAGAGACCCUUUUCCAACUAGAGGACCUAUAUCCUGGAAAGCAAUAACUGUGAAGAGGACCCAGGGGAUCAACGUAGAUAACCAACUGUGCCAUGAGCGUCCCGUGCAAUGCAUUGUGUUAGCCCCUUUUGCCACAGAGCUCGUUCAGUUAAGACACAACCUGAUCAGUCUGUACCUCCUCGGAGUGAAGAUGUCUGAUCAAAAGCAGAAUGAGAUCCAAAAGAGGUGGAGGGAAUUGAAGUUAAAAAAAUUCAAAUUGAAAAUAUAAUGCAACUUUUUAACACUGAGAAUAAUUAGCCACUAGGCUGUUGAAUGUUAUGAAGGGAUGUGAUUAAUCAUCACUUAGAGACUUCAAACAGAGUCUGUAUGUCUUUUGAAAAGGUAUGGUUUAGUUUAGUGUUUCUCAGGGGGACCACCAAAGGCAAUGGUUUCAAGGCAUAGAAAAUGUUAUUACAAACUAAAGCAAAUAAAUUCUUGCUCCCCACUCACCCUUACACUUCAAGGUGUCUCUGCCAACCUCUCAAAACACACACAAAUUCUGGGGGUAGAUCAGUGUUAUCAUUGAAUAAUAAAUAGUAAAUAAUGUUCACUAUUACUUUCGUAAAUGUGAGAGGUUGCAGAGAAUUUUGACAUUGAAGAAGUUGUCUCCCACCUGCAAAGUUUGAGAAAAACUGAUCAAAUUCAACCACGUGUUAUAGGAAUUGCUGGGAGAAAUCCUGUGACCAGAGGAACAUAAUGGCCCAUUCUUAAACUCAUGCCAUUCUUAAACUCUAUGACUCUAUUACAAGGGUUCCUUCUUGAUAAUGUAACACAUUAGAGUUCAGUUAGAUUAACUUUCCAUAUGCCACUGUGCUGACUCUGCUGCACAUUCUGUUGCAAUGGGAUGCUUCAUAAAACAUGGGGGAUAUGAGGCCGCCCUGCUCCUGCUCUUCACCUGACCCAGCUCCACUCAUGGGACCCUUGUGAGCCACCCACACAAAGAUUUCUGGGGGAUCAGGAAGAGGGGGCAGAGUGAAGCAGAGUCACAGCUCCCCUCCAGCUGUGCCAUCCCCAGAGGAAAUGUGUUAGUGCUGAGUUCCUUCUGCUCUGAAAAGCUAAGUCCAGUCUGGACCAAGGCAGUUACUAUGCAGGAAGAAGCUCUCCUGGGGACUGCAACUUUACUGGCUAUCGGAACAGGAGAUCAUUAGUACAAGUUUCACAGCAAAUCACUUUAUUGGAGCAGGUUAACAAUAAAUCACUCAGAGAAGCUAGCAGACUGGAAACCCUUCAACCCUUUCUUGGAAGCCGACAUGAGCAUGUUGGGAUGGAAGCGGUUGGAAACACAGUGGGUUUGUGGAGCCACCUCCAUGCUGGAGCUUACUCCUGGGUUGGUGCUAUGCGUAAUGUGCUCUGGUGCACCUCAUGCUCGGUUCUUCUUCUCCCAUCCGAGAUAGUGAUCAACUCAAUCAACCUUGAGAUGGCACUUUAGAGCACAGAUGACCAGCACUGUGUGAGGAGAUCUCUUGGCCAGUGGCACACCAUGAUUUUUUCCCUGUUGGUGGGUGGCUCAUUUAUCCCCUGCUGAUACUGGGAGGUGCUGGAAGUUACUAUCUCCACAAAGAACAUGAUCCCCUCCCCAUCCCCUUUCCCACCCCAUGUGAAGCUGUAGAAAUUGGAGAUCUCACACUGUCUUAGGCUGUGGUGAUAGAGGUUUGCUGAUGAUCUGUUUGGUUGACUCCUUCUGUUUCACCCAUGUGGACACUCCUUUCAAUCUGUCUCUAGGUGUCAUGGAGAUAAAGGGGCAGGAUAGUCCCAAGGUCGGCUCAAACUCCUCUGGGGGCCCCUCUAUGAGCACAGAAUCAUAGAAAUGUAGAGCUCAGGGACCUCCAGAGGUCAUCUUAUCCCAGGAGAAGGGAUUGAAAGGAAAAUAAAUGGCAGAAAGAGGCCAGAAGAUCCCUAAAUAAGCCUCCUAGUUAGAGCUGUGUGAAGGGUCCGGAGGGAAGGGAACACCCCAGAGGAAGCUGACGAUCAGGGAGAGCAUGAAGGAGACUGGGAGGGCGAGGUCCGAGAGAAAGUUCUGGCAUGGCUUUGGGGGACAAACAGCAGGAUACCAGGCUAUGAAGCACUGCACAGGAUGAGCUGCGCUUUCCCAAAUUCACUGAUUCUGUGGUGUGUGGAGCAAUGAAGUGCAAGCAUGGGCAGAGCUCUAACUCUGCCCCUUCCUGUGGGGGCAUCUGAUUGAUGGCACCCCAGGAUGGCAAGGUCUGCAGCCCAUUGGAACUAGCACCAGCCAGCUCUCAGGGGACGCAGAAAUGAAAGCUUGUCAUUGAAAUUGAUCGAUUCAUAGUUUGGAAGCUGUUCACCUUUCCGGGCAACAUAAUUCAAGCCGCUUCCAUCCUCACAUUCGCACAAUAGCCAAGCACCGCUCUGCACCAUAUGGGAAGACACUCGGUCAUUGAAAGAUCCCUUGCUCAGACUGGUUGCUUCUUUUACCACCUUGAUUUCCCCUUCAUAGUUGAUAUGUUCAUACAGGGUGAUCUUGGGAUUCUUCAGGUCUUCAGUAAUCAGCUUGAGAGAAGUGAUCUUGUCAUUCAUAUCUUCACCAACAAAGCUGUAUUCACCUUCCUCAAACACCAGGAACUUGCCUGAAUAAUUAGGAUUCUCAUAGGCCACCCAGGGUUGGCCAGUGACCUUUACAGAAGAGACACAGUGGCCCCACUCUACGGGCUUCAAGUCAGCAAUGUCAGAAAUGAAUUCUUUGGAUUUACCUUGGAAGUUUAUAUGC